AUUUACUUUUUCGCUAAAUAAUUUCGUCUUUUACUUUUGUUUUUCUUUUCCCUUUCAAAUUUCAGCCGUUUCAUCUUCUUUUCUUCAUUUUUCUUGUAUCCCGCUAGGGUUCAAGAGCAAUCUGAAAGGUUCUUUUCUGUCGAAUUUAAAUUUUAUGCAAAGGAAACGAUGAUUUGAAGGAUUAAUUGUUGGUUAGAAAUCAAAAUGCAUGAAUAUGUUAGAAUAGGCUUUGUCGUUUUAGUCAUUUGUUUAUCUUUCAACAAAUAAUGGUUUUGCUUUAUCAAAAAUUUCGACGAAGCAAAAGGUAAAUAAAAUAAAUAACAAUUUAUGGGAUUCGUAAUUAAAUUAGGGUUUAGGAACAUCACAUUUUUGUUGUUGGAAUGAAUUCUGUGGCUAGUUUUCUUUUCCUGGAAAGUUGGGGAAAAGAAUUGGUUCGGCUAACUAACUUUGGAAUUUAAAAGGUCAGCAUUCCUAGUUUUCGAUCCGUGAAUGGGGUCAGCAGAGCAAGACGAGUAUGCUGCCUUUGAAGAGAAAGUAAGGCGGACGGUUUACAUAGACAACCUGUCACCGAAUGUCACUGAAUCUGUGGUGAGAACUGCCCUUGAUCAGUAUGGAACUGUCAAGAGUGUUCACUUCAUUCCGAACUAUCUAGAGCCACAGAACAUCCCCCAAUGUGCUUUGGUGGAGAUGGAAACACAAAAGCAAGCUGAAGUUGUCAUCUCAACAAUAUCUCAAUUCCCUUUCAUGAUGUCUGGAAUGCCAAGGCCUGUGAGGGCACGUGCUGCUGAAGCGGAGAUGUUUUCUGAUCGCCCUAGGCAGCCUGGUAGAAGGAUACAUUUCCGCUGGUUGGACCCUGCUGAUCCUGAUUUUGAGGUUGCAAACAAGCUGAAGCAUCUUGCAAAAAGACAUGCUACUGAAACUGCAGUGAUGCUCAAGCACCAACUGGAGAAAGAGGAGAAGCUUGCGAAGCAGCAAGGAGAGGCUCUGAAAGCAAAUUACAAGAAGUAUGAGAUGAUAGAUAGUUUGAUGGCUGAUGGAACUGCUCAACGUUUGGCACGGCAUUAUAAUUUGAGAGUUUCAGAUGACUCAGGCCCUUCUACCUUUCACUGACAAGUAACCAAUAUAUGCACUAAUAUAAGCACAAAAUCACAACUAUAAUAUACUCAGAGUAUGUCCCAUAUAGAAUCAGGGCUGUGCAUGCUUUCUCUCAUCCUUUGAAGAGGCAAUGCAGUGUAAAACUCCUUCAUUUAACCUUUCCCCCUCCUUACCUGUAUCCUUAAAGCAUUGGUAAGGAUUCUUUCAUCUUGUCAAAAAUUUGAUUGGGGGAAACAGGUGGCAAGUGCCUAUUCAAUUUGAUUAGCUGAUGUAAAAACAAGGUUUAACUUUACUAAUUUAUCAGCAUAUGAUAUUGUCAUAUAUCAUAAUGAUUAUAAGUGACAGUGUAAUCAAAAUUCUUUAAAUUUUGGAAUGGGGUUUUACCUUUGAUGCAAUUAAUGGUUGAUGUCUACAAAGGAUGCUAACCUAUAUGGGAUUGAAAAUUCUUAGGUGUUUGGAUAAUGUUGGAUGCUGUUCAAUUAAACUGAUUCUUAUUGGCUUUGAUUAAUGUUUUAUAUUUAUCUUUCUUUGGGUUGAGAGGGGGAAUUUGAACUUGAUAUCUCCUUUUUAAAGGCAUGGUUGCUGAUAGGCUAUUGUGUUGGCCAUCGUGAAUAUUUUGUUAAAGUAGAUUUCUAUUUAGAAGGAAGACAAAAAAACUUAUAACGCGUUCAAUAUGUAAAUAGCUCUGGAAAGCAACAAAUUUCAAAGACAACCCCAGUGAGUGUCAAUCAUUGUUCACCCUUUCUUUAGCCCGAUCUCCUCUAUUUCAAAUCUUUUCAAAAUUAAAAUCCUCAUUUCUGUGAUAUUCAUGCACAUAUAUCAUCAAACAGAAACAAGUGUGCGUAUCAUUGAAAAGUUUGGGCUUUUUGAGUUGAAAUUGUGGUUGAUUUGGUGAAGAUUUGCAGAUAGUUUGAGCAUAAGUAAGGUUUGAUGGCUUUUAUGAGUUUUGGUUGGGUUUUUGUGUCUGUCUGGUGGGAUGAUACUGGGUUAGGUACUUAAUCUGUAAUUUGAUUUUCUCAAGAUGUUUUAUCUGCAAAUGAGUGUUUACUUGAAAAUUUAAUUAGUUGCUUUGCUGUAAUUCUCUUUGUUUGUAUUAAAUUUGUUCAUGAGUAUGAUUGAACCAAAUAAUGUACAUUUUGGCCACUGGUGACGGCCUUUUGAUGCUUUAUCCCUUUAUAUACUAUAGUUGUGAUGCUUACAUUUGUACUAUAUUUGUAUAUUAAUACUUUAAGAACACGUGAAGAAAUUUUGCCUGUGUUUAAUUUGGUUCUUUUUAAUAUUAAAUAUGAUCACGAUACGAAUAAUAUUCGUAUCUUAAAUUUGAAUAAUGUAUAUAUGUACGUUUAAUAAUUAUGUAACACGACACAAUAAGAUA
Molecule: RNA transcript, 2470 nt
Organism: Theobroma umbraticum
Lineage: Eukaryota; Viridiplantae; Streptophyta; Magnoliopsida; Malvales; Malvaceae
Gene name: RNA-binding (RRM/RBD/RNP motifs) family protein
Source: RefSeq, a predicted model, not a curated record